GGAUGGGAGGGCGAUCUGGCUGUGACAUCUGUGACCCCAUUGAUUGUCAGGGUUGAUUCGGCUCACUGGCUGGCUAGGCAGGUGUCCCCUUCCUCAGUCACCACUCCAUGUGCGUCCCUCCCAAAGCUGCGUGCUUGAUUGAAGAGGACAACCUUCCCUGAUGUAGAAGGACCAUUCUUCGGUCAAGGGUAUACGAGUAGCUGCACUCCCCUGCUAGAACCUCCAAACAAGCUCUCAAGGUCCACUUGUUUUAGAAUGUAGAGCAGUCAAGCUUCCAAGACUCCAGACACAUCCCAAUGAGGCGCUGCAUGUGGCAGUCUGCCUUUCAAA
Ursus americanus (American black bear) is the source of this 330-nucleotide unclassified non-coding RNA. Its record names the gene 7SK. It matches the Rfam family "7SK RNA". From Rfam's summary of the family: 7SK was discovered as an abundant small nuclear RNA in the mid-70s but a possible function has only recently been suggested. Two independent studies have found that 7SK RNA binds the CDK9/cyclin T complex (known as elongation factor P-TEFb). The record is from Ensembl. Lineage: Eukaryota; Metazoa; Chordata; Mammalia; Carnivora; Ursidae.